This 542-nucleotide long non-coding RNA is filed under the name Mytilus galloprovincialis (Mediterranean mussel). The record is from RNAcentral. Lineage: Eukaryota; Metazoa; Mollusca; Bivalvia; Mytilida; Mytilidae.
AAUAAAUCAAAAGAAGGAAUUAAGCUGGUCAUUUUCUAAAUAUAGAAAAAGAAAGUUAAAGCACAAAUUUUAAAGCAUAAUUCAUAAAACUCUUGAAGUAAGUGCAUCAUAGGUACACCAAACUAGCCUGUUGAGCUUUUUACCAAAAUACAAAAUAUUGACAAUACAAUACAUGCACACAAAUCAAGCAUAAUAUUUAGUAAAAUGUAAGCAGUAUUGAACGAGACAAAAUUUGAACAUAGAAAAUAACAAGCAGUGAUAGAACACAAACAUAUGAAAACUAAUAAUAGCUGAGCAUUCAAAGAUAGUGCACACAGAUAAGGAAACCAAUUAUGGAUGUAGAGCAUGAUCCUUCAAGACCUACAGGAAACUAACAGUUUGGCCAAAUUUUCAUAAAAUAAUUGUCAAUGGGGGAUAGAAAAAAAUGUUUUUUGAGAAUUAAAAACCCCAAUUUUUUUAUUUUUUCAUUUUCAUUGCAUCCCUUGUUUUGUGGAUUUCUGUAUAUGGUUAAAUACAAAUUUUAUGUUUUAACAAAAUAAAAG